Molecule: ribosomal RNA, 801 nt
Filed under: uncultured bacterium
Lineage: Bacteria
Description: bacterial SSU rRNA
Rfam family: Bacterial small subunit ribosomal RNA
Source: RNAcentral
GGGACGCCGGCGAGUGGCGAACGGGUGAGUAAUGCAUCGGAACGUACCCAGUAGUGGGGGAUAACUUACCGAAAGGUAAGCUAAUACCGCAUACGCACUGAGGUGGAAAGCAGGGGACCGCAAGGCCUUGCGCUAUUGGAGCGGCCGAUGUCGGAUUGGCUAGUUGGUGGGGUAAAGGCCUACCAAGGCGACGAUCCGUAGCGGGUCUGAGAGGAUGAUCCGCCACACUGGAACUGAGACACGGUCCAGACUCCUACGGGAGGCAGCAGUGGGGAAUUUUGGACAAUGGGCGCAAGCCUGAUCCAGCCAUGCCGCGUGAGUGAAGAAGGCCUUCGGGUUGUAAAGCUCUUUCGGCCGGGAAGAAAUCGUGGUGGCUAAUACCUGCCAUGGAUGACGGUACCGGACUAAGAAGCACCGGCUAACUACGUGCCAGCAGCCGCGGUAAUACGUAGGGUGCGAGCGUUAAUCGGAAUUACUGGGCGUAAAGCGUGCGCAGGCGGUUGUGUAAGACAGGCGUGAAAUCCCCGGGCUCAACCUGGGAACUGCGCUUGUGACUGCACGGCUAGAGUACGGCAGAGGGGGGUGGAAUUCCACGUGUAGCAGUGAAAUGCGUAGAGAUGUGGAGGAACACCGAUGGCGAAGGCAGCCCCCUGGGUCGAUACUGACGCUCAUGCACGAAAGCGUGGGGAGCAAACAGGAUUAGAUACCCUGGUAGUCCACGCCCUAAACGAUGUCGACUAGUUGUUGGAGGGGUAAAACCCUUUAGUAACGUAGCUAACGCGUGAAGUCGACCGCCUGGGG